CACUUGGCCACAUGACUCUCAUUUGGCCUGGACCAGCAAUUUCAGGAGUUUUGAACAUCAAUUUUUGAACAGUGAGUUUGGGGAAAGGGAGCAGGGGAAAGUUGGAAGGCGCAAGAGGGGUUGUGAAAUGCAUGCUACAAUUUCGUCAGCAGCUCCUUCCUUUUGUCCUGGCACCUGGGGGAAACCAGGGCUAGCAGGCACUGAGCUUCCUCCAUAUAGAAGCUUUCCCCGGCCUGCUGAGUCACCUGCCUGCUGCGGAGAAUGCGCUUAUUUUUAGCUGGAGAUGAUAUGACCUCCUAUUGUACCCGUGUGGACCAUUCCAUGGCCCUGCCCUUUGGGACACCACUGCUUGGGAGUUAAGAUGGUGGCGAUCUGGAGCCCAGCAGCCUGAUUGAAGGGGGCUUCACCACUUACUGACUGUUUGAUCAAGCAAGACCCUUUGCCAUUCUGAGACCUGACCUCAGAGCUCUGGGGCUGGAGCAGGAAGGGCACCGAGAUGUCAUCCCCUGCUCUACUGAGGUCAAAAUGGAAGCAAAGGAAGGGGCAGACGCUUGCCUGUAUCAGACGUCCAGAGACCCCGCUAAGACCUCGUUCAGGCAGAGCCACCUGUUAGGUAAAAGGCAGCUCCUGAAAGGCUUCACUCAUUCUGCCCUGGUACAGAAGCAGGCCCUGCCUCUUCCAGAUCUGCCUGGAGCUGUCACCUACCAGUGACUUCCAGAACCAACCUGCAAAUCUCUGCCAGUCGGUAGCACUGCUCGGACCUGAGCUCAGAUGAGACGUUCUGCAGCACUGCUCGGACCUGAGCUCAGAUGAGACGUUCUGCAGGCUGCUGAGAAAAUCCCCAACACAGCUGCAGGACACAGAAGUCACUCAGCAGGCUGAGUGACUGGUCAUAUCACUUCUCCUUAUCUCUCCUCCUGGUGACAGAGCCAAUGUCUGUGAGACCUUUUUAAACAGAAGCCUUGCUCCAAAUAAAAUUUGACCCGACACAGGGCCCCAGUGUAUGCAAACAAUAAAAGCUGCCCUCCACCAGCUUAAAUGUAUUUUCUAAGAAGUUCAAGUUUCCAACAUGUUACCGUGUUGCUUACAAAAUCAGUGUGAACACAAGUGAGGUGAGCUCCAGUAUGUGAAAAUCACGUAUCGCUUCUAAAUGUGCAUGGUGCUGCUUAUUACAAAUAUUCAAGUAGUUGAAAAUGUAUUUUGGGCCAGGCACGGUGGCUCACACCUGUAAUCCCAGCACUUUGGGAGGCUGAGGAGGGAGAAUGGCUUGAGCCCAGGAUCAGCCUGUGUAACAUAGGGAGGCCCCAUCUCUACAAAAAAAAUUUAAAUUAACUGGGUGUGGUGGCAUGCACCUAUAGUCCCACCUACUUGGAAGUCUGAGGUGAGAUGAUCCCUUGAGCCUAGGAGUUUGAAGCUGUAUUGAACCAUGAUCCAUACGACUGCACUGCAGCCUCAGCAGUAGAGUGAGACCCUGUCUUAAAAUAAAUAAGCAAAAAUAAAUAAAAUACAUU
This 1511-nucleotide long non-coding RNA is filed under the name Callithrix jacchus (white-tufted-ear marmoset). RNAcentral describes it as "lncRNA (ENSCJAG00000082923.1)". Lineage: Eukaryota; Metazoa; Chordata; Mammalia; Primates; Cebidae. The record is from RNAcentral.